AUUGAACGCUGGCGGCAGGCCUAACACAUGCAAGUCGAGCGGAGCGGCGGACGGGGGAGUAAUACCUAGGAAUCUGCCUGGUAGUGGGGGAUAACGUCCGGAAACGGGCGCUGUUACCGCAAACUAUUAGAUGAGCCUAGGUCGGAAUAGCUAGUUGGUGGGGUAAAGGCCUACCAAUGCGACGAUCCGUAACUGGUCUGAGAGGAUGAUCAGUCACACUGGAACUGAGACACGGUCCAGACUCCUACGGGAGGCAGCAGUGGGGAAGAUUGGACAAUGGGCGAAAGCCUGAUCCAGCCAUGCCGCGUGUGUGAAGAAGGUCUUCGGAUUGUAAAGUACUUUAAGUUGGGAGGCGUUACCAACAGAAUAAGCACCGGCUAACUCCGUGCCAGCAGCCGCGGUAAUAC
RNAcentral lists this ribosomal RNA (407 nucleotides) under uncultured bacterium. Its description in RNAcentral is "partial 16S ribosomal RNA". It matches the Rfam family "Bacterial small subunit ribosomal RNA", at positions 30 to 526 of the family's 1533-position model. The record is from RNAcentral.